UCUAUAGGGCUCUGGUCAAAAGUAGUGCUCUCUAUAGGGCUCUGGUCAAAAGUAGUGCUCUCUAUAGGGCUCUGGUCAAAAGUAGUGCUCUCUAUAGGGCUCUGGUCAAAAGUAUAGUGCUCUCUAUAGGGCUCUGGUCAAAAGUAGUGCUCUCUAUAGGGCUCUGGUCAAAAGUAUAGUGCUCUAUAUUGGGCUCUGGUCAAAAGUAGUGCUCUCUAUAGGGCUCUGGUCAAAAGUAGUGCUCUCUAUAGGGCUCUGGUCAAAAGUAUAGUGCUCUCUAUAGGGCUCUGGUCAAAAGUAGUGCUCUAUAUUGGGCUCUGGUCAAAAGUAGUGCUCUAUAUAGUGCUCUGGUCAAAAGUAGUGCUCUCUAUAGGGCUCUGGUCAAAAGUAUAGUGCUCUAUAUUGGGCUCUGGUCAAAAGUAGUGCUCUAUAUAGGGCUCUGGUCAAAAGUAGUGCUCUAUAGGGAAUAUGGUGCCAUUUUGAGCCUGUGGGACGACGUGUUUUCUUAUCCAGAAGACAUGACGCCAGCGGAAUGCAGGGUUCUAUGUUCUUUACUUCCAUUUUUCCUGCAUUAAGUUAUUGUUGUUAGUCACGAUGUUAGACCAAUGACUGAAGGAGAAAUGUCAU
Oncorhynchus keta (chum salmon) is the source of this 627-nucleotide long non-coding RNA. RefSeq lists it as uncharacterized. The transcript has 3 exons. The record is from RefSeq and is a predicted model, not a curated record. Lineage: Eukaryota; Metazoa; Chordata; Actinopteri; Salmoniformes; Salmonidae.